This 116-nucleotide ribosomal RNA is filed under the name Acinetobacter baumannii 99063. Lineage: Bacteria; Pseudomonadati; Pseudomonadota; Gammaproteobacteria; Moraxellales; Moraxellaceae. The record is from RNAcentral.
UGGCGACCAUAGCAAGAGUGAACCACCUGAUCCCUUCCCGAACUCAGAAGUGAAACCUCUUAGCGCUGAUGGUAGUGUGGGAUUACCCAUGUGAGAGUACCUCUCAUCGCCAGCUC